Molecule: long non-coding RNA, 259 nt
Filed under: Musa acuminata (dwarf banana)
Lineage: Eukaryota; Viridiplantae; Streptophyta; Magnoliopsida; Zingiberales; Musaceae
Description: long non-coding RNA (MACU_LNC011706)
Source: RNAcentral
AGCAAUAGAUGAAUCUUUUCUGCAGCCUUUGAGCAGCAACUUGGAGGGAGGAACCCCUAUAGAGUUCCAAGGAGGCCGAUCCCCUAAAGAGAUCAACCCCAAGUUUAGAAUCUGCAAGGGUUCUAUCACCUGGUAUCAGAGUAGCGUUCUUGGCGUCUCGCUGCCCUUUCACAGCCAUCCAUCAACCCUCCACAACCAUCCAAAGCAAUUCCCACAAUUGCUUAAAAGAUCGUCACCGAAUUCCACCAUCAUCUCCACC